This is a long non-coding RNA of Gymnogyps californianus (California condor), 1036 nucleotides long. RefSeq lists it as uncharacterized. The record is from RefSeq and is a predicted model, not a curated record. The transcript has 2 exons. NCBI's taxonomy places the organism in Eukaryota, Metazoa, Chordata, Aves, Accipitriformes, Cathartidae.
GGCUGGGUCCAGCAAAUUUAGCAGAGGAGCAAGGUGCUUACACUGUUUGCUUGUGCCUUUUCUGCAGGGAGCCGGCUCUGUCUGGGUACGCAAAGCCAACCCCCGGCUGCAGCAGGGCAGCGGCACGCUUCCUUGCUUCCUCUGGUCCCCUUGCCUACAAGUGACUGAUGUCUCUGCUGGCUGCAGAGUGAGGGUUAAAUUAAGAUUAUGCCAUUGAUGGAAGAUAGAUGCCAUCUCUUAUCCUAAGAUCAUAUCACAGAAUAACUGGCAACUCUGAGCCCUCUGAUCUCGGAUGCUGUGGUGAGACUUGGAGAAGUAGAUGGCCCCAAACCCAAAUGAUUCAGCCAACAAAAUCUGCAGUACUCAGAGCCUCUUAGAACCUCACCUUCCUGCCUCUGAUGGAGAGGUCUAAUGGUCAUAGCUGGUAUUGCUGAAAGAGUAAGGGCCUAAUCUAGCUAGUACGAUAAAAACACAUAUAAUCGUCAAAUAUGAAUCUCUAACUUUCUGCUUUUCAAAGAAUAUGCUGCUUUGGGGCAUCUGUAACUGUGAUACUGAAGGGUGGUGGUUCUGGACCAUGUCAUUUACACUAAGCUGCAUUAGUUCCUUAGUUACAUGGUUAAAUAUUUUACUGGACUUUUAAGUGAUAUUUAUGGAUGUAAGCUGGUACAGCCAGACAACCCUGAGGUAAAUUAAAGGGAGAGUUAAGAAAUGUCAUGGGAAUAGCUAUGAGACACUCUUAUGGGCAGUGCUAACUGGCACUGUUCAUUACUUAUUUAUACCUUUUAUCCAAAGGAUGUAUAACCAUGUAAUGUAUUUAUAUGUAAAACGGACUAAUACACAUACAUGGGAAUGAAUGCACUGGGCAGUGAAAUGUGCAAUAUGGUAAUGUGAGCUGAAUGCUGCAUUGUUAUGUAGUAAUUCAUAGGAUGAAGAUCUCUAUGUUCAAUGAAAAUGAAAGAAGGCGUCUUGCACAUGAUGAAUGUCAAUUACACCAAAUAGAAACUAAUUUUUUUUAAUAUAUAUUUUUUUUAAAUGA